Molecule: transfer RNA, 72 nt
Filed under: Candidatus Pacearchaeota archaeon
Lineage: Archaea; Nanobdellati
Description: tRNA-Asn
Rfam family: tRNA
About the family: Transfer RNA (tRNA) molecules are approximately 80 nucleotides in length. Their secondary structure includes four short double-helical elements and three loops (D, anti-codon, and T loops).
Source: RNAcentral
GCCCUGGUAGCUCAGUGGUAGAGCACACGGCUGUUAACCGUGGGGUCGCAAGUUCGAGUCUUGCCCGGGGCG